GCGAACCGGAUGCGGAAAAACUGCACGUCCGGGUCUGUACGGGGCGCGCCCGGUAACGGGCGUUCCUACCGCGGACUUGAUCAAUGAGUCAGGUUUUAAGACCGAUUUACAU
RNAcentral lists this unclassified non-coding RNA (112 nucleotides) under Candidatus Kentrum sp. MB. The record is from RNAcentral. Lineage: Bacteria; Pseudomonadati; Pseudomonadota; Gammaproteobacteria.